GUGUUGUAUGAAAGGAGAGAAGGUUAGCACUCUCCUUGAAGG
Delphinapterus leucas (beluga whale) is the source of this 42-nucleotide small nuclear RNA. Lineage: Eukaryota; Metazoa; Chordata; Mammalia; Artiodactyla; Monodontidae. The record is from Ensembl.